CUGAGACCAACCACUUUCAUGUCAUCUCCUAGAGCCUUCCUUUCUUCCUCCUGGUUUUUCAUUGACAAAGUGGGAACUUAAUGCUUCAUUUAGGGGUGUGUUGCAGGCCAUUCCAUUGCAUAAUGGAAGCAGAGUUCCUGGCACACGUUAGGUACCCAAUAAUAAAAGCUAUUAUAAUGAUCAAUUAUAUUACUUAUUUACUUUUGUACCCUUAGGGCCUGGCAUAGUGCCUGAUGUAUGAUGGCUGCAAAAUAAAUUUCUGGUGAAUUAAUUUAUAAGCUUACAGAAUAUGGCUUUAAAAUACAAAAAAGAAUGUCUCUUUGUAGCAUUUAUAGACUUGGGCAGUAUUCCAUGCACUGCCCCUUCUCACUUUUUUCCCCCAAACAUCCUGUCUGGUAUCUAUCCCUGGGCACUAUCUUUCCUAGCCAUUGGGAAAUCAACGGCUACUGAGUUGGACGACUUAGCGACUAAACCACCACCACCAUAUAGCUAUAGAAAGUCUAUUGACACAUAGAUGUAGCUUAAGAGAGUUAAAGAGGAAUUUUCUGCCUUGAUCAUCACAUCCUUCAUCUACAUAGUUUAUUGCUUAAGGACCAGGGUUUUUAGUUUAGUUAACCUCUACAUUCUCUCUAAAUCUGGCAACUAACUCCUGACCACAAUAAUCUGAUUGAGAGGAAAUCCAUUCUACUGCUAACUCCAGACUCCCCCUGGGCUGUUAUUUCCAGGCUAGUCACCUGUCUCAGUGUUGACAAAACACGUCAGCUCAUUUGCAUUCCACCUCCUAUCUUUCCCCUAUUUCUUUUGAGGAAGAUGUUUGUGAAUUAUUUUAAGCCAGUUGAAUCACUCUGAGAGUUAAGUGCUAUAUUUAAGCCUUUGAGGAACAGUUGAGAAGGAAUGAUUUAGGGAUGUGAACCAUUUCACAAUAAUAUCCCACAGAAACUUGAAGUUUGUGGUAAGUUUCAGCAUAUUAAGAUACUAGAGAUAAGUAGGUCAUUGUUCUCAGAUGCAAAAUACUAAGCAGCAGCAGCAGGACCAAUUAUAAAAUACCAAGGUACAUUGACAUAUACCAUGUUUCCUAUUAAGAAAAUUUGUAGUAAUUGUUGAGUUUGAUUUCUUCUUUCAAGUAGGAACCUGUGAUUUACUCUUCCUGGGGGAAGCCUUUCACACUAGUAACAUCCGAGGAGCUGAG
Molecule: long non-coding RNA, 1189 nt
Organism: Bos taurus (domestic cattle)
Lineage: Eukaryota; Metazoa; Chordata; Mammalia; Artiodactyla; Bovidae
Source: Ensembl